ACCACUUCUCUCUUUUCAGAACUUCCCCUGCUGCAGCCCCCUCCAGAUUGAGCUCCAACGAAAGUGAAGCCACCUUCUCCUCUUCGUCUUCUGCCGAUCAGAGAGCUUCGCAACGAAGAACCGACUAUGGGCGAAAAGGAUCCAGCGUCCAAUAAUGAGAAUGUGAUCUAGAGAUGAGAUCUCUACUUUCUUCUCUUUUGGGCGAUUUUUUAGGGUUUCAUACUUGAAACUAACUCUUCGCAAUUCGCAGCUUCAGUUUAACAAUCACAAGUUGAAGAGAAACAAUGUCUGGCAUGGAAAGACCAACAAAGAUUCCUCGUCUCUGCAACUCCGAAUCCAUUGUUGAUACUAACAAACUCUUUCCUCUUCUAUGGUGUACAUGUUCAUCACCUUGCUCUCAAUGGUGGCGAUUUUCUUGAAGUCUCCAAAUCCAUCCCAGAUUUAAAUUGUUAUUUUGGCGUUUGGCUCAUCAUGGGAUUCCCACCAAAGCCCAUCUGCAUAAUUGGAAGGACGUUGACCCAGUCUGUGAUUUAUGCUUGAGUCGAAUGGAGAACAUUCACCAUGUUUUCCUCAUUUGUGAUUUCACAAAACAUAUCUGGGCUGCUGGGCCGUUGGGCCUCCGAAGCGAGUGUUUGAAUUUUUCACCUUUCUCGUCUAUCAUAAUGUCUUUCUUUCAUCAACAUAAGUUGAAUAAGCGUGACUUGAAGUA
This is a long non-coding RNA of Macadamia integrifolia, 709 nucleotides long. RefSeq lists it as uncharacterized. NCBI's taxonomy places the organism in Eukaryota, Viridiplantae, Streptophyta, Magnoliopsida, Proteales, Proteaceae. The record is from RefSeq and is a predicted model, not a curated record. The transcript has 2 exons.